GAGUUUGAUCAUGGCUCAGAACGUACGCUGGCGGCACGCCUAACACAUGCAAGUCGAACGCAGUAGCAAUACUGAGUGGCAAACGGGUGAGUAUAAUGUGGGAAUCUGCCUUUUGGUUUGGAAUAACACGGGGAAACUUGUGCUAAUACCGAAUAAGCCCUCACGGGGAAAGUUUUAAUGCCGAAAGAUGAGCCCGCACUUGAUUAGCUAGUUGGUAAGGUAAAAGCUUACCAAGGCAAUGAUCAAUAGCUGUUCUUAGAGGAAGACCAGCCACAUUGGGACUGAGACACGGCCCAGACUCCUACGGGAGGCAGCAGUGGGGAAUCUUGCACAAUGGGGGAAACCCUGAUGCAGCGAUGCCGCGUGAGUGAAGAAGGCCUUUGGGUUGUAAAACUCUUUCGUCGGGGAAGAAAAUGACUGUACCCGAAUAAGAAGGUCCGGCUAACUUCGUGCCAGCAGCCGCGGUAAUACGAAGGGACCUAGCGUAGUUCGGAAUUACUGGGCUUAAAGAGCUCGUAGGUGGUUAAAAAAGUUGAUGGUGAAAUCCCAAGGCUCAACCUUGGAACUGCCAUCAAAACUUUUUAGCUAGAGUGUGAUAGAGGUAAGUGGAAUUUCUAGUGUAGAGGUGAAAUUCGUAGAUAUUAGAAAGAACACCAAAUGCGAAGGCAACUUACUGGGUCACUACUGACACUGAGGAGCGAAAGCAUGGGUAGCGAAGAGGAUUAGAUACCCUCGUAGUCCAUGCCGUAAACGAUGUGUGCUAGACGUUGGAAAUAUAUUUUUCAGUGUCGCAGCGAAAGCAUUAAGCACACCGCCUGGGGAGUACGACCGCAAGGUUAAAACUCAAAUGAAUUGACGGGGACCCGCACAAGCAGUGGAGCAUGUGGUUUAAUUCGAAGAUACGCGCAGAACCUUACCAACACUUGACAUGUUCGUCGCGAGACCAAGAGAUUGGUUUCUUCAUUUAGUUGGACGAAACACAGGUGCUGCAUGGCUGUCGUCAGCUCGUGUCGUGAGAUGCUGGGUUAAGUCCCGCAACGAGCGCAACCCCUACUUUUAGUUGCCACCAUUUAGUUGGGCACUUUAAAAGAACUGCCAGUGAUAAGCUGGAGGAAGGUGGGGAUGACGUCAAGUCCUCAUGGCCCUUAUGUGUUGGGCUACACACGUGCUACAAUGGCACUUACAAUGGGAAGCAAAGAGGCGACUCCUAGCUAAUCCCAAAAAUGUGUCUCAGUUCGGAUUGUACUCUGUAACUCGAGUGCAUGAAGCUGGAAUUGCUAGUAAUCGCGGAUCAGCGCGCCGCGGUGAAUACGUUCCCGGGUCUUGUACACACCGCCCGUCACACCAUGGAAGUUGGUUACACCUUAAGGCAAAGCUUAUACCUUUGACUACGGUACGAUCAGCAACUGGGGUGAAGUCGUAACAAGGUAACC
Molecule: ribosomal RNA, 1433 nt
Filed under: uncultured marine bacterium
Lineage: Bacteria
Description: bacterial SSU rRNA
Rfam family: Bacterial small subunit ribosomal RNA
Source: RNAcentral